ACCACUAUUUACUAAUUUAAAACAUUAGAAUUAUUCGAAUAAUUAGAUAAUUUGUCCAUUUCAAAAUCCUACAAAUAAUAUAACCAUAAUAUUAAUACACAAUCCCAAUUUUCCCCUACUAACAAUGUAAUACAUUUUUCAUUAAACCCCUAGCAACAAAACAAAAACCAAAAAAAAUAUAAAAAAAUAAAAAUUGGUGCGGCAAGUGAACUACCAUUCUCCACCCUAAAUCUGCCAAUGUUCAUUAUUAUUGCAUUGUCAAUGAUUAAAGGCAGGCAAAUUUUUUUAAAAUAAUAAUGUAGAUCAUCAAAACAUGUUUAGUUUGAUAUUUUUGAAUACCCAACUAAACAAAAGUUAAUUUAAACAAACGUGGAUCUCAUGCAUUUGGUAAACAAUAAAUGUGUGUUCAUUAUAGUUGUACAUUUGAAGAUACAAAAGACAAAACACUUUUCAAGUAGUCAUGCAACGCUCCAAAAAUUGUGUGUCAUUCGAAUUUUUUUUUUUUUUUUUUUUUUAAUGCAUAUACUCUCUCAAUAACUUUUUCAUCUUGAAAUAGGAACGCACAACACAUGCACGCAAUGGCGUAGACAUUCAAUUUCUGUGUGGGAUAAAAAAUUUAAAUGCAAAUUUUUAAAAAUUUACACAACAUUAGUGAAAAUAGUUAAUGCACUACUACAAUUGUUGUUUACGGGUUUUCAUACUUUAAACACUUUGUAUAAUAGCACUAUUAUGAAUAUUUUCAAAUACAUCAUUCACCAAACCAUUGAUCUUCCAUCUGAUUGUGCACUCAAUUCUUGACUAUCUUCAAUUCUUUUUAAAUAUGUAAUACAGUCUAAGAAUAAAAAUUCAUAUAGGAGAACUCCAUAAAUAUCAAUAAAGCCUACACUAUUUACCUUGUGCCUAGCCACACUAGAGGACACAAAUUUAAGAACCGUAAGUUAAAUGGCAAGCUUUAUUCACAAUAUAUAAUCAUGAAUCAGUUGGCUUUCAAUAAUAGCAUACAAGAGGUGCUAGAGAAACCAUUUGCAUUCAAAACUACAUAGAAGAAAAUUCAAUGAUCAUAGCCUAAAUGGUUCAAAGUUUUACUAUUAUAAUUUAAAAUACAAUGAAAUUGAGGCGGUAAUGACACUCAAUGGAACCGUAACAGUUAACAUGCACAGAAUUUGUUUUAACAAUUAAAAGUCUAAAAAAAAUUCUUAUAGAAACAAACAAACCUUCAUUAGUCUGGGGGAUAGUGAUAAGGAGGUUAAAAUCAGUACCCUUGCCCAAAUGCUUUGAUUCAAAUAUUUUUUCUUUCAAGUGUCCAAUGGAAAUAAAGUGCCCAUCAAUCAUAACCGAAUCAUAAUCCUUUGCACUUUUAAAUUUAUAAUACAUAUUUGCAAUUGGAGCACAGAUUUGGGUGAAAAGGUCUGAAGGAAAAAGGACAGGAAAUCAAACAUAAACAUUAGAACCUAUAAUUUCAAACAUUCCUCCAAAAUCAAUUGCAAUGUAUCUCAUACCUAAAUGAUGAAUAAUGACAUAGAAAAGUAAAAGGAGAGAAAAUCAAAUUUAUAAAAUUCUAAAAAUGUCUAGAUUCAAAAAUUUUGACCACCAUAUCAACAAAAAUCAAUCUAUAAAAUUUGGGUCCUACCGUUGAGUGGGAAAUUAAUAAAUGCUCAUGUCAUUGUACUAUCAUUAAUGAAAACUGACCAAUCAUUUAUUAAUUAGACAUGUAACACUCGUAAAAAUGAAUCUCAUUAGAUAUUUUGAAUGAUUAUCUCAACAAAAGUUAUGUCAGUCCCAUGCACUGUGCGUACAACGAAUGUGUGUUCAUUGGAAACAAACCAAGUUCCUUUUAAAUAAUAAUGUACACUCAUCAAAAUGUGUUUUACUUGACAUUUUUUGAAUACUGGGCUAAACAAAAGUCAACUUAUAAGAUCAUGGUUCUUAUGCAUUUGGUGGACAAUAAUUGCAUGGUCAUUAUAAUUUUCACUAUCAAUGAUGGAAACCUACCAAAUUGUGUUUAAAUAGUCAUGUAAAACUCCCAAAAAUGUGCCUUAUCAGAAAUUUUUGAAAGAAACACAUUUCUAUAAAUGCAAGUUCAUUAUUGUUUCCAUGGAAGGAAACCGAUCAAAUCCUUUUAAAUAGUCGUGUAACAAUCAUAAAAUUGUGUUUCAUUCGAAAUUUGUGGAACAUUGAAUUUUUAAUACUUGUACUUUCUCAAUAACCUUUUUCCUGUGGAACAACGAAUGCACAACACAUGCACGAUGUUCGCACGACUCAUGCAAGUGCUACUCUUUUUGUCUCUUCUCUAACUUUUUUUGCAAUUAUUGGAAUCUCACAGAAUUGUUGGACUCAUAUCCACCAAGCUGCAUCAUUGGAAUGAUCUCAUCUAGAAAUUCACAAAUCAUCCUUUCCUUGAACAUCAAAUAGUUCUGUUUAAGUAAUGCCCAUUGAUGUAUAUGAUAGCGAUAAAUCAUAGAUUGUGAAGCACAGUAGAAACUAGAAGAUAUUGUAUCAUGUAAAUACUGUAUAAUAAUGAUAUGAGAGAUAUAAUGAAAACAUAUUCCCUAUGACAUAAUACACCUGAAGAAUCCAUACAUUAAAUCAGAAGAAAUCCAUUUUUAUCGCCAAAACAUUGAAUGUAGUUUUCUCAUAUGGGAAAGGUAGAAAUGUGACUAAAUAUCAAGUGUACUUUAUAUAACCGCAUUCUUAAAUUGGACCACAUGGAUCGACAAUAGGAGAGAAAACAAGAGUGUUUGUUUAAACAAAGGCCCAAUGGUGAAGCAACCAAAAAAAAUAAAAAUAAGCAGACAGAUGUAUCUACAAAUUUACAAAAGAAGUUACAUAAAAUGGCAUGCACUAAAAUGAAGAACCAAAUAUGAUAGUGAUUUUUUAGUCACCAUUUCCUUGAUCAUCUAAUACAUCUGGGUAUGUAGUGCAUAUCAAUGUAAACAAUACCAAGUGAAGCAAAGAUUGUGAACAACAAUAGAAACAAAGGGAUAUGGUAUCAUGAAAAACAUUUGAGGAUACAACAUUUAACAGAAACAUAGAUUACCAAAUAAAUAACGCACCCAGAGUCAAAUCAAAAGCAAAUCUUUUUUUGUCGCCCAAACAUUGAAUAUAAUUUUCUCAUUUGGGAAAGGAAAGAAUUUGAUUAAAUAUAAAGAGCACUUUAGUUAUCCACAUUGUUAAUACCCUCAAACUGGACCAUGGGGAUUGAACCAUAGGAAAGAAAACAAGUUCAUUUCUCACAACAAUGGCAAAUCGCGAAGCAACCAAAUGGUUUUUGUUGGUUUGCUUUGUGAUUUGAACUCCAUUAUUUUCAUGUAACAAUUUAACUCAUUAAUUCUUAAUUACUCGGGGGACACAUAUAUAUUGGAUAUAUGAUGAUAAUCAUUUUCAAGACAUUACAAAAUAGGUCGUGCCUCUGUUGUUUGUAUGUGUUUAAUGUUAACUAAUAAGUAUCUUGUCACAUGAGGGUUUAUAUAAGUCUUCAGAAUAUGUAUAGGCUACACUGAAUUUGGUAUUGAUAUGCUAUGCCCUCUAACACAAAGAUGCUUUUCAUUAGAUCUAUGCUUUCUUUUAUGGCUUCAAGCACUCUGACCUAGAUAAUAAAUCUGUAUAAGUAAAGCAUUUCAAUGGACAUUUUACCAAAAAGAAAAAGUAUAAAUUUUGAAGUACAACAAAGAAACAGGGACUGUAUCAUGUAAAUUGGAAAAUAUUUUAGUCCAGACAAAUUUUGAAAUGUUGAAAAUUUAAGUAUAAUUCCAUUGUACAACGAUGCUUAGCCUUAAUCUUAUUUGCGAUCAAACAAAGAAGUAAACAUCAGAAUAGUAAUAAAUAUCCCAAAAGAAACAAAUAGCAUUUGGAUUGAAAUUGAUGUAGGAGGUUCCGAAUCAAGUAAAGAUGAUAUGUCAAAUAGCACAUUGAUGGCAUUGAGAUACCAUGAGAUGAUGGAUCGGUGCAAAGAUGGAAAGUGAUUUCAAUAUUUUUUUUAAUUGAGGCAAUUUUGACACGUUUUUGGUUAUUUGGUUAUAACUUUGGCUAUGAUUAUUAGUGUUGGGUCUAAAAGUGUAAUUGGCGAUUCUGUGAACAAAACGGGCUAAAUUGUAUAAUUGUAAAAGUCAGGGACUUAAUUGAACAUUGGUGUAAAAGUCAAGGACUUAGGGUGCAAUUUGUAUAGAUGAGCUAAAUUACUGUUCAAGUCAUUGAAGGAGUCCAAAAUGUCCAAGAAGAUCACACAAGAUCAUCAAAAUGCAAUUGGUAGUAUAAAGGAUAUCAAAGAGUCGCACAAAUUAUAUUAUGGAUUUUCAGUCGUAACUUGCAAUGUAUUUUCACAUAGAUAACGUUGGAAUUUGAACAAGACUAUCUCUAGAAGAAUUGUAGCCCUUUGAGUUAGCUUUCCAACACAACUUGAAUCACAUCAAUUAGACAUUUGAAGAGAAAGGUAUAAUGAAAAUAUUAAUGACUACUCACUGUCUCUCGCUUCUCGCUGACAUUUCACUCGAAUGAAAAAAGGGAAUACCUCUCACUCAAUUCUCAUUGGCUCUCGCUCGAGCGACAUUUCUAUGUGGUAAAAACCCUAUUUCACAUUUUUGAAGUAUUUUACUCGGCCCAUACCACCUAGAUACCUUCAGAUAUAAAUGCCCAAGCCCUAGGACUAAAUUUGAGAGGUUGCUACAUUAUUCUUUCAUUGCAAAAGAUAUUCACAACAUCUUUGAAGAGAUCCAAGGUGCAAUUAAUUGAAGAUUCCAUCUACAUCAAUCUUGUGAUUUGGCAACCAUUAUUUUUGGGGAAAAACAUCGAAUCUACAUAAUCCAAAACACUUUGUUUCCUUAAUCUAUUAAGGAAGAGACUCUCUCAUUGGAGAAUUACGAGAGGUGGAUUGAGGCGCAGUUCUUGGUGUUCUACUUGGUGAUACAAUUAGCUAAGGACUAGGAGGUUGUAAUGGACAGUAGAUUGGGCUGCAGGAGAUAGAUCGGGAAAUCUAGCAGGAGGCUAGAAGUAUCUACAGUAGUAGAUCGUGAGAUUGGAACAUCGAAUCUGAUUGGGUACGGAGUUUGAGUUAACUUGUACUUGCUGAAUUGGUAUAGUGGAGGUAACUGGCUUGGUCCCGAGUUUUACCCACGUUGAGGUUUCUCCAUCAUCAUAUUGUUUGUUAUUUACUGCUUUCCACAAUAUACAAACUGCGACAUUCCAACAUAGAUUAAUUGACUUGUAUGAUUAAUCACCUAGACAACUAAUUAAAGCGACUUGUUACUUUAGUUAGAUUAAUUCCGCACGUUAGGUCAAAUUGUUUAAAAUGAAAUCUAGAACGUGAACUUGGUAAUGUAUAAAAUUUAAACUUGACACUGUAUCACGUUAGCCGAACUUUCUAGCAUAUUUAAGCGUUCUAGGUGACUUUUCAAGUGGUAUCAGAGUCUAAAAUCGUGACCUGAUAUUAAAUAGUCUAGAUGAGUACCUUGUUGAAUGUACCAUCUCACUUUGAUUGUUGUAACUAUGCGUAUUGGAAGGUUAGAAUGAGGGUAUUUUUGAAAUCCAUGGAUGUGCGUGUCUGGCAGAGCGUAGUGAAUGGUUGGUCUGCCCCUAGUACCACAGUAGAUGGUGUAGCCACUCCCACCCUCGUAGAAAAAUGGUCUACAAUACAAU
This 5631-nucleotide long non-coding RNA is filed under the name Olea europaea subsp. europaea. The record is from RNAcentral. Lineage: Eukaryota; Viridiplantae; Streptophyta; Magnoliopsida; Lamiales; Oleaceae.